This is a long non-coding RNA of Cucurbita pepo subsp. pepo (vegetable marrow), 1180 nucleotides long. RefSeq lists it as uncharacterized. The record is from RefSeq and is a predicted model, not a curated record. NCBI's taxonomy places the organism in Eukaryota, Viridiplantae, Streptophyta, Magnoliopsida, Cucurbitales, Cucurbitaceae.
AAGGUUAGGUAGGUAGAUUGAGAGAGAGAGGCCGAUUUAAGAAGAAUCAAGAGGCUUCUUCUUCUUGCUUGCUUCAAAGUUUCUUGAUUCACUAAUACAGAAAUGGAGAUGCAAUUUGCUAGGCCCGCCAACGAUAAAGCCAUGUUGAAAUCCGAUCACGAAACCCCACAUGGCCAUUUCUCUGUUUUGUGAUCGUUGAAGGGUUAUGCCUUCACCCAUCGCUGUUCUUGCUCUACUGCUCAUCUUUCAAUCUGCGAAUGCUAAUGAUCUCGUUCUGGGCGGAAGCAGGCUCUUUCUGAUCAUGAUGAUAGUGACUACUUCCAAGUUUCUCCCCUUCAUUAUACCCAAAUCUUGUCGAUGGGUCGACUGUGGAGGCGGUUCGUGCAACAAGACGUUGCGGUUGGCAUACAAAUGUGAUUGUUUGAAGGGCUAACACUGCCUUUCCAUGCUUAUUCUGAGUUGUGUUUGAUACUCAAUUUGACGGCUCAAUGAGUAUGGAUUCCAAGGACCCUUCUGCUACAAAUAACAACAAUGCUGCUAGCAGAUUAUUUCUCAUCGAGGUUCGCUCGAUGAUAACGUAUGUAGCUACGCUGCUGCUUCUGCUGAACAAAUAGACCGACGAACGUGGUGGCGGUGCCAUAUGACUGUAGUUUGAUUAUGUGUAAGGCCUCCAUUUCUAUAGAAUAAGUUUCCCAUUUUGUGUUCUCUGUGAAUUUAUGAGUAUGAGUUUGAUAGCAAAUGCAAAUGACUUUUGAGAUAAAUUGGCUUGGUGAGAAUCAAAUCAAAGAGACGAGAAAGAGGGCGAAACGGAGAGAAGCCAUUAAAAUGCAGAGAGAGAGCUUGAUUGAUUGGAAAUGAAGAGAAGCCCAUCACGAAGUCUUCGAAUCAAAUCCGACGUCGAAAACGAAGCAGCAGCGGCAGCAGGCACUUAUAGAGUUCUCAAUCAGUUCAUCUCCCACAACCUGUCCCAUCUCAUUAUUGUAUGCAUCUAUCCUCAUCAUUAUUAUCAGAUCAGAUCAGAUCAGAUUGUCCCCCUUGAUGUACGGCGCCGCCGUGUACCGCCCCACUCCCUCCGACACUUCGUCGUGCUCUUCCCUUUCUCUAUUAUAUAUAUUCAGCCAUUUCGGAUUAGCGAUUUUUCCCAGCAAUUUUACUUCAUCUAAUAAUUUCUAAUUUUUAA